This 776-nucleotide ribosomal RNA is filed under the name uncultured Neocallimastigales. RNAcentral describes it as "partial large subunit ribosomal RNA". It matches the Rfam family "Eukaryotic large subunit ribosomal RNA", at positions 22 to 646 of the family's 3401-position model. The record is from RNAcentral. Lineage: Eukaryota; Fungi; Neocallimastigomycota; Neocallimastigomycetes; Neocallimastigales.
UAGAUGCGAGAGUAGAGCAUAUCAAUAAGCGGAGGAAAAGAAACUAACAAGGAUUCCCUUAGUAACGGCGAGUGAAGCGGGAAGAGCUCAAAUUUGAAAUCUUCAAGUUCUACCUUGACGAAUUGUAGUUUAUAGAAGUGUUUUCUGUUAGUGGAGUGGCAAAAGUUCUCUGGAAUAGGACAUCAUAGAGGGUGAGAAUCCCGUAUUUGGUCAUUCCUCCUAGCUUUGUGAUACACUUUCAACGAGUCGGAUUGUUUGGGAAUGCAGUCCAAAAUGGGUGGUAAAUUUCAUCUAAAGCUAAAUAUUGACGAGAGACCGAUAGCGAACAAGUACCGUGAGGGAAAGAUGAAAAGAACUUUGAAAAGAGAGUUAAACAGUACGUGAAAUUGUCAAAAGGGAAGCGUUUGACACCAGUGUUGUUUUUCCGAAAAUCAAUUGACGAAUGUUUUAUUUUUGAGGAGUUAUGACUUCAUCGGCUUAGCUCUCUUCUUUAUGAAACUUUCUUAAUGCACUUUUCGGUUAACAAGGUCAACAUCAAUUUCUUUUGUUGUAAAAGGGUAUGAGGAGGGUGGCUUUCUUUUCGGAGAAAGUGUUUAUAGCCUUGUGCCUCUGCAAUCGGAGAGAUUGAGGUCUGCAGCGUAGAUCCUUCGGGGUUAGAUACGUUUGUGCUAAGUUAUAGCUUUUCAUAGACAACUUGUUGACUAUGUUUAGUCUUGUAGCUUACUCGCUGACGCUAUUUUACCUACGCUUAGGAUGUUGACGAGACUGUCGAUCUC